GACGAACGCUGGCGGCGUGCCUAAUACAUGCAAGUAGAACGCUGAAGGGGGAGCUUGCUUCUCCGGAUGAGUUGCGAACGGGUGAGUAACGCGUAGGUAACCUGCCUGGUAGCGGGGGAUAACUAUUGGAAACGAUAGCUAAUACCGCAUAAUAGUAGAUGUUGCAUGACAUUUGCUUAAAAGGUGCAAUUGCACCACUACCAGAUGGACCUGCGUUGUAUUAGCUAGUUGGUGGGGUAACGGCUCACCAAGGCGACGAUACAUAGCCGACCUGAGAGGGUGAUCGGCCACACUGGGACUGAGACACGGCCCAGACUCCUACGGGAGGCAGCAGUAGGGAAUCUUCGGCAAUGGACGGAAGUCUGACCGAGCAACGCCGCGUGAGUGAAGAAGGUUUUCGGAUCGUAAAGCUCUGUUGUAAGAGAAGAACGAGUGUGAGAGUGGAAAGUUCACACUGUGACGGUAUCUUACCAGAAAGAGACGGCUAACUACGUG
Molecule: ribosomal RNA, 495 nt
Filed under: uncultured bacterium
Lineage: Bacteria
Description: partial 16S ribosomal RNA
Rfam family: Bacterial small subunit ribosomal RNA
Source: RNAcentral